This 1209-nucleotide long non-coding RNA is filed under the name Numida meleagris (helmeted guineafowl). RNAcentral describes it as "lncRNA (ENSNMEG00000022914.1)". The record is from RNAcentral. Lineage: Eukaryota; Metazoa; Chordata; Aves; Galliformes; Numididae.
AUGAGGUGCCAGCCUUACCUUGCUUUGGCACUUGGUGUGGCAGGAGAGCUUGCAGCCUGCAGGAGGGGAGAAGGGGUCAGUGGGGACAUGGCCAUGGGGCUGCCCAUGGGGGCUGGACAGGGUGGCACCCAUGGGGAGACGCAGGCAGCAUCAGCACUGGGCACAGAGCACAGAGAUGCGCACUGCGGGUGCACAGACGCACACACCUUGCACACGUGCACAUACACAGCGAGAUGCAUGCACACCUCAUGCGUGACCCAUCCACCCACGGUGAGUGUGCCAAAGGCACCGUGCCUCCGCUCACCCCAGUGCUCAGAGAUUAACAGCAUAAAUGCAUGCAAACACAGCUUGCGAUCUCUCGCACAUGCACACGUGCGCACACGCAGCUGUGCACAGCUGUGCACACGCACAGUGGGGCUGUAUGGGAUGCUGACCCACCAGGAACGCCAAGCGCUCCCCAGCGUGCCACCCCAAAGGGACAUAAGGGUCCCUGUGCAGCAUGCCCCAUGGCCACACUGCCCCCCCCACCCCCAGGGCCUUGUCCCCCCCGGGAUCAUUUCCUGCAGUGCAGGGAACACAGGAAGCCGCAUUGUUCCUGCGACCCAGAGCAUUUCCUCCCACCACCCCUCGCACGGGGCUCAGCAUGGCCACACACGUGCAGGUGGACACGUCACCGCAUGUGCCACCGGGGCCUCGAGGGGACAGGGCCACGAGCGCCAGCAGGGGCGUGAGCAUCCCACACACGUGAUCCAGGGACAGCACUGCAUGCAUGUAUGGGACACCACUGCACGCUCACUGCACACUUGGCCACGUGCACUCACAACCACACGCCGAAGUGUGCAAAAGCAUCACUGCAUCCUCUUGCUCGCGCACACGUCCCACCCCCUCACCUCGGCAGGUGCUGCCCUGGCGCGUGAUGGCCUGCCGGCAGAUCCCGCACGCCUUCACCUUCUUGAAGCUCGUCAUCUUGAAGGCAUGAGCCGGGGGGGACUCCAGGUCCUGGGGCUGUGGGACACGGGGACAAGUCAGCACAAAGACCCCCGUCUUUUGCCCCGUGCCGAGCUCUGCCCUGCUCAGUUUCCCUCCGGGCUAGGGUCAGCCAACAUCUGCUCUCACUUCCCCGGGGUAGCCCCCACCUUGUGCCUGCCCGGGCCACCACACAGCGAGGGGUGGCAGUUGACCACCCCCGGGGAGACGCGGCCCCUUUAA